GAUGAACGCUGGCGGCGUGCCUAAUACAUGCAAGUCGAGCGAACGGACGAGAAGCUUGCUUCUCUGAUGUUAGCGGCGGACGGGUGAGUAACACGUGGAUAACCUACCUAUAAGACUGGGAUAACUUCGGGAAACCGGAGCUAAUACCGGAUGAUAUUUUGAACCGCAUGGUUCAAAAGUGAAAGACGGUCUUGCUGUCACUUAUAGAUGGAUCCGCGCUGCAUUAGCUAGUUGGUAAGGUAACGGCUUACCAAGGCAACGAUGCAUAGCCGACCUGAGAGGGCGAUCGGCCACACUGGAACUGAGACACGGUCCAGACUCCUACGGGAGGCAGCAGUAGGGAAUCUUCCGCAAUGGGCGAAAGCCUGACGGAGCAACGCCGCGUGAGUGAUGAAGGUCUUCGGAUCGUAAAACUCUGUUAUUAGGGAAGAACAUAUGUGUAAGUAACUGUGCACAUCUUGACGGUACCUAAUCAGAAAGCCACGGCUAACUACGUG
Molecule: ribosomal RNA, 497 nt
Filed under: uncultured bacterium
Lineage: Bacteria
Description: partial 16S ribosomal RNA
Rfam family: Bacterial small subunit ribosomal RNA
Source: RNAcentral